GUGAUUAAAAAAGGCUAAAAGACUUAUAAUAUAAAACAGAAGCACUAUACGUAAAGAUGUUGUAAUGAAAUAUACAUGUUCGGAUUCUGCCUGUCUCUGCUCCCUUUACUACUUCGCGGAAGUAGCUGUGUAAACGCGUUUUGAAAAGUUGACAGUCCAUGUGGCGAUGCCUCAACAGCAAGCAAUGCUCUCAUACCACGACCAAAAUUUUCUGUGUAAAUCAAUGGAACCCUUCGUGAAUUCUUAUUUCUUUCUGCUCUGAACUCUGAUCUUUCCCCGCGCACAGUACUGAAAACCGCGUAAACAAGUGCCGGGUAAUCAGAUCGAUCGGUGUCAGGUUAGUUACCACCUAGCGAAGCAUCUUCCGUUCCCGAAAGUAACAGAGAAAUUCAUGGCUUGACAAGAGCAACAAUUCAGAAUCUCACCAUCCAUGGCUAUAGCUUCAAACAAUGGCGAGUGAUCGACAAUUAUUUUCGGAAACGCGUACGCCGCGGGCGAAUUCACACAUUCACAAUUAAUCCAAAUCAAAUGCGUUUGGGUUGGCUACCUAACGCUUUUGUCUCGGUCAAACUGAACCUCCUCAAAUAAGAGCCCCCUGCAAUGGCCUCAAUGAGCGCUACCGCGUACGUGCGAGCUGAGGCGCGUACGCGGUUGGUGUGACGAAAGGAUCGAUCAGCUAGCUGCUAUAGCUACCGGGCAACUCCGCAAGAAGAGCUCUCUCUCCCGGUCCCUUUCUCUCCUGUGGUGGAGCGAGAGAUGGAUGCCUAGUGGACUCUGAACGCUCACACACAUCCUGCAUGCACGCUCAUCAUAUACAGACUUACAUGGGUGGAGCUGAAACUGUUUGACUAAGCUUCAGCUUCAAGAGAUGUGGAACUGAAACUGUUUGGCUAAGCUUCAGCUUCAAGAGAACUGGAGCUGGAGCUGGAAUUGUACCAACAAACAUACCCCAAUUAACACACAUCUAAAUAAGAUUGAAGGCCGUCCUAUAACCUCACGGUAUCAUAUUGUCUUUUUGGGCUAUGUUUUCGAACAAGUCUCCCAAGAUGACAUUUGCCAUGCAUGUUCUACAGAAAACUUGGUUUCUUUUCUUAACAAACAUAGCUGCUCUUUUUCUGAUUGUUUGUAGACUACUAUUACAUUAUGAGUAUGAUGGCUUAAAAUAUAGGAUAAAAUAUUUAUGCUAGGCCUGAACGUUGGGCUCCGAAAUUAUCAUGUCGUUCGUACGUUCUAUCAAUAAGGCUGAGUUCUAAGUGAAAACUUCAAACCGCAAGUUCCUCAUUUUUCAUUAGCAUGUUUCCCGAAUUCAUUUUUCAUUAGCAUGUUUCCCGAAUGGUUAAACUAUGUGUAUUGUGAAAAAAAAAUCUAUACAUAAGUUUUCUAAAAAAAUCAAAUAAAUCCAUUUUAAGUUUAUACCAAUAGUUAAUAGAGUACUUAAUUAAUUAUUUAUUUAUGAGCUAAUGAGCUUGUUUGAUCACGUGCGGCUGAAAAUAUAACCCCCAAAUUCACAAACAAACACACCCUAAGAGACAAUGUUGGCUCAGGAUCUUCAAUAGAAAAACAGAAAAUAUAUCUAGAAAAUUCAUGGUGGUUACUCAGAGCUCCAACGAAAAAAAAAAUCGACUCACUUGAACAAAGGAUUAAAAAAAACCUGAAACCAUACAACUUUUAUUAGAAUUUUUUUAGAUCCCAUUAAUUGCAAAGAAAAAUAUUGGCAUGCCGAAGAUAUUAAACUGCCGUUGAUGUAUAGGAAAUACUUAGGUAUCUUAAGCAAUAUCUACCAGGGUUUUGUAGUAUAACCGUGUCAUGAAAUUUAGGGCUGUUCAUUUUGAUAUCAUUUUCAACUUUACUAAAUUUUGAUAAAGUUGCCAAAAAAAGUAGCUACAUUUAGUUUGCUGCCAAAUUUUGGUGACUAUAUAAGAAAUCCUACCAAAAUUUUGGCAAUUGCCAAAAUUUGGUAAGGUUUUUUUGGCAUCAAAGUGAAUAGACCCUUAAUUAAACCGUGCUAUAUUAUUAGUACUAUCCCCCAUUUGUUAUCUGACAUUGGUUCCAUGGGAACAUAUCCUAUCCACAGUUUUCCGUGCACACUCCGUGCACACCAAGUAGCAAAUGUCACGAAAAAUUCUAGAAAACAUCUGACAUAUACUCUUAAUAGUAUUACACAUAUCUACAAAGUCUUAUAUUCAAAUUCAUUGUAUUUUAUCCGUAACAAAAAAUGAAAAAUAUGACAGUAUUAAGAGUAGAAAACUGUCAGAAUUUUGUCUUUUUUGUUACAGCUAAAAUAUAACGAAUUUAACAUGAGAUUUCAUAUAUAGUAUAAUACUAUUGAAAGUUUAUGUUCAUUUUUUUCUAAAAUUUUCCGUGGUAUUUGCUAGUUGGUGUGCACGAAAAGAUUAUCUGUAUAAGAUAUGCUCUUUGAUUUCACAGUACUCCCUCUGUCAAAGAAUAUAAGAAGUUUUAGAGUUGGACAUGGUUAUUAAGUAAGUAGGUAUAAGUAAAUGGUGGAGGGUUGUGAUUGGAUGAGUAGUAGAGAUAGGUAUGAAAAGUAAAUGGUGGAGGGUUGUAAUUGAUUGGGAAAAGAAUAUUGGUGUAUAAGUUAUUUUAUUUUAGAAUAAAUUCUAAGAGCUAAAAGUAAUUAUAUUUUGGAAUAUAGAGAGUAUAACCAAACAUCAGAAAAACACGGAGAGAUAGUUUAGGUUGUUUUCCUUUAGAAGCGUUGCGAACCCUUCCCUCACGAGACACAAAACUGAGUAACGGAUUAUCAAAUAAUUAAUUAAGUAUUAGCUUAAAAACUUAAAAAUAGAAUAAUAUAACUUUUAAACCAACUUUCUUAUAGAAUACUUGAUAAAGAAUACACUGUUUAAUGAAAAAGGAGAAACUAUAAGUUGUGAAAGUGUAUAAUACACAUGCCAUCUUUCAGAGCAAUUUCGCGAUAAAUACCUCUAGUAGAAUUUAAAAGAACAACAUAUACGACUUCCUGCACAUCCGCUGCUCAACUCUGCCAUGUAAAGAUCGGCGUCGUUCGUUCACGCGCUCCAGUUACCGCGUUGCUUGCGCAGUUGCGCGUCGGCAUGGAGGGAGGGAUGGCCCACCCCUCCUUCGUUACGAAGCUGCGUUCUUUACCACUGUUCCCAAAUUCCCUUCCUGCUUUCACGCGCACGCUUUUUUAACUACUAAAUGGUGUAUUUUUAUAAAAAAAAUUCCAUAUGAGAGUUGUUUAAAAAUCAUAUUAAAUCCAUUUUUUUAAAAAAAAAUUAACAAAUACUUAAUUAAUCAUCCGCUAAUCGCUGCUCCGUUUUCCGUGCUGGAGGGAACCAGUUCCCAACUGUGAGUAUCGAACAGAGCUCCGAGAACUUCCUCGGCUUUGGCCCCUACUCUCUCUCCGUGUGUAGACCUUCGACUUUUUUAGUAUAUUGCAUUGGUGUGUUGGAAUUCGCUACGUCUAUCUCUCCAUUUGAUGUUAAAAAGGUUGCAAUGUUGUUUGGAUCGUGGGGGCGGUGCGAGAUACUCAUUUUUUUUAGAAACACAAACACAGUACAAACGCAGAGGCUCACAACGUGCGCACACUCACCCCUUCCGGCAUAUCUUGAGAUUGAUGAAGUCACCACGGGCGGCGCCUCACUGUCGAGGGGGCAACGCAUUAGCUCCAGUUUUGGGCACAGCUACAAAGGUGUGAGGAUGAUGGGGAAUUCCUAAAGGUUGCAUGCCGCAGGUUGGAGUCGAUGGUUAUGCAACUAUUUGCCAAUUAUGGGUGGAGGUUCAUAAAUAGACUUCAAUAAAUGUGUUCUCCUUAUUUUGGCUUGGUUACCUUUGUUUUUGUUUGGUGUGUUCUUUUUAUCUGAACUACACUCUUUUCUGGAGUGCUACUUUGUAAUAAUUGGCUGUAGCUCUUUUUUAGCAAAGUCUGGGAUGUUAUAUUCCAUUAUCUAAAAAAAUUAAUCUCUAUUAUUAUAAAAA
Oryza sativa Japonica Group (Japanese rice) is the source of this 3957-nucleotide non-coding RNA. NCBI's taxonomy places the organism in Eukaryota, Viridiplantae, Streptophyta, Magnoliopsida, Poales, Poaceae. The record is from RefSeq and is a predicted model, not a curated record.